RNAcentral lists this transfer RNA (75 nucleotides) under Candidatus Nealsonbacteria bacterium RIFCSPLOWO2_01_FULL_43_32. Its description in RNAcentral is "tRNA-Trp". It matches the Rfam family "tRNA". From Rfam's summary of the family: Transfer RNA (tRNA) molecules are approximately 80 nucleotides in length. The record is from RNAcentral. Lineage: Bacteria; Candidatus Nealsoniibacteriota.
GCGGGCGUAGCUCAGCGGUAGAGCAUCGGUCUCCAAAACCGAGUGUCGCGGGUUCGAAUCCUGUCGCCCGUACCA